This 497-nucleotide ribosomal RNA is filed under the name uncultured bacterium. RNAcentral's name for it is "partial 16S ribosomal RNA". It matches the Rfam family "Bacterial small subunit ribosomal RNA", at positions 28 to 507 of the family's 1533-position model. The record is from RNAcentral.
GACGAACGCUGGCGGCGUGCCUAAUACAUGCAAGUUGAGCGCUGAAGGUUGGUACUUGUACCAACUGGAUGAGCAGCGAACGGGUGAGUAACGCGUGGGGAAUCUGCCUUUGAGCGGGGGACAACAUUUGGAAACGAAUGCUAAUACCGCAUAAAAACUUUAAACACAAGUUUUAAGUUUGAAAGAUGCAAUUGCAUCACUCAAAGAUGAUCCCGCGUUGUAUUAGCUAGUUGGUGAGGUAAAGGCUCACCAAGGCGAUGAUACAUAGCCGACCUGAGAGGGUGAUCGGCCACAUUGGGACGGAGACACGGCCCAAACUCCUACGGGAGGCAGCAGGAGGGAAUCUUCGGCAAUGGACGAAAGUCUGACCGAGCAACGCCGAGGGAGUGAAGAAGGGUGUCGGAUCGUAAAACUCGGUUGGUAGAGAAGAACGUUGGUGAGAGUGGAAAGCUCAUCAAGUGACGGUAACUACCCAGAAAGGGACGGCUAACUACGUG